This 122-nucleotide small RNA is filed under the name Chrysemys picta bellii (western painted turtle). Its description in RNAcentral is "TUC338 (ENSCPBG00000015459.1)". Lineage: Eukaryota; Metazoa; Chordata; Testudines; Emydidae. The record is from RNAcentral.
UGGUCUGUUUAUGGAAAGUUUUCACCAUCCCAUAUCAUCAGUGUGGGAACUGCCCCAGAAGAAGCACUUCAAGAGUUGGGAGGGAAGUUCAGUUUCCAUGACCCAUUCAGUCCUUGGCCCCC